UCCUCGCAGCUUUGCUGAAACUGCACAAAAAAGGCAACCGGGGGGGGGACACACACGAGGUUAUUUUUUGAUUUUAUUUUUCUCUGGUUAAAAGGCGAAUCCUCCUCCUCCCUUCCUCCCUCUCUCUCCUUCCCUCCCUCUCCCCCCCUCUCUACUGGAAGAUCUUUUUUAUUUUCUCUUGCUGCCUCCUAAGCUGGCAACGUCCUGCGAGCGGCUAUUUUGCUUUUGCACCGAGAGAAGAGCUUCCUCCCUCGCCCUCUCUCUUGACACCUAUGGAUGAAAUCCACACUGGUGUCUAACCUGUAAUGAGUGCCAAUGUUUUGACCUUUCAAUAGAGAGCUGAUUUUGGAGAAUGGCUUACUCCUGUGAUUGAAAAACUCUCUGGAAGGUUGAUGGAGCAUGAGCAUGGAGAAUCUUUCAUUGAAAUUGCUGCAGUGAGAAUGGAAAUUACUUGAGCUCCUUUCCUUUUAAAAGCUGCAUGCAAGAACUGUGUGGUGAGUCAAAUGUAGACUAAUGGUUAUGUAAAUGUCACUAAUUUUAGAUACAGAUCUGAAAGUGUGUUUCCUUUUAAGAUUUUAUUUUCUUCACUAUCAUGACUCAGUAUCACUUGCUAAUCUAAUUUUAUUAGCCCUGUUGUAUUUUACCAUUUAAAAUACACAUACCUUAUCCAAAUAGGUCUUCACAGAGUCAAGUUAAUACAUCAUAUAUGUUUUAAAAAGAGGAAAAAAGGCUUAUCUGCACUCAAGAGUUGUUUUGAUUUUAGCCUUCACAGAACCGCUACUGGUGCAGUUGCACAGGUACAGACAUGAUGUAGAUAAAUAUGAAUCCAAGUUGUUAUAAUUCAUUAGUUUGCAUUAUUUGACCAUAUUUCAUAAUUUCAGACUGGUAAAAUCACAUUCUCAUUUUCUACUACUGCUAUGAAUUAGAACUGACAAAAUUGCUAAUAGCUAAAUUUCCGAUUUAGUUCAGACCUGAGCAGUUCUCAAUAGCACAGCUAUGCAGAAUUAGAUAGCCUACAGCUUUUCAUAAAGAACAUAUGUGUGCACAUUUACCUACUACAUUUCUCUUAAGACACAUGACCAAAAUGAAGUUGACUACUUAGAAAAAAAUAUCCUAUCUGGCUCAAAGCUGGAUAGCUUUCUCAUUGAGUUUCUUUAGGUAAGUUUCUUUAGGGAGUUUCUUUUCUUUCUUUCAACCUAUGUAACUGCUAAAUAUUCAAGAUCUGCACAUAUACUUCAGCCAUUUGAGAACUUAGAAUGCUUGGAAAGACCUUAAAGGUCUCUGCUUUUUUCAUUAUGCUGCAGACUGGUGCUUGCAGCAGGCCCAUCCAUCCAGUUGCUCUUGUAGAUCUAGUAUUUUAAUGUACCCAGGAUUUUUCCCAGAGACUUCCAUGAGUAGAUGUGAAUCUAAAGAGCUGAUCAAAGACUUGAGAGCAUACAACAAAUAAGUCUAUUUGCCUGGCUUUGUCAAAGUCCAGUGGCCAAACUGUUUGUUCCUGACUACUUCAUUGUACUCAUGUUGGCCUUUGUGAGAAGAGUGAAGCAGCCUGUGCUUCCUUCUGGUUCACCAUGCAAACUCCUAUCACUGGCACAAGGGCAGGAAAUAGCAGGGAGCAGGAAGAAGCAGAAGGGCAAAGGUUGGAGUGCCUUGUUCGGUGGCCCUAGCAGCACAGAAUAGUUCAGUGACAUGGUGAAAACACAGUUUGAGCAUUUGCAGAACCAGAGUUCAACUGAGGAGCCAAAGUUCCUGUCUGGAUAAGAAAACUACUUCAAGUGCUUCUGAAGGCCUACUCAAAUGAUUCACUUCCUAAACCUUUAAAAAGGAUGUUACAUUUCUCACAUGGUUCUCAGGUGGCUUAAUAUUAGCAGUUAGAUUUUUCCAGAGGUUUGCCUGUAUGGGUGGUGCCAGAGACUGUGGCUGGAUCAAACUCACUUCAUGUUGCGGCUCUGGGAUCCAAAGGAGUGUGCCUGAUGUAAGAAAGGAAGGUUCACUGUUUUCAGUUCAAGUGCUUAUUUUCUGCUAGGCUUAGGAACUGUAUGGGAAAAAGAUGCUUAAUUUACAUAAAAAGGCAAGAAAAUAUAGGCCUGCUUGAAAAUAAACUGAGACUAAUAGCUGUAUAUGAGUGAAGACAACUGGUUUUAGGAGCAUGUCUAAAAGUGCGAUGUUAAAAGGUUGGAGCUGAGAACAGAUACGGGAAGAUCUGAUGAACUGGAAAAUCAGAAUGAUUGAAAUAUGUUGGGCAAAGAUUUGGGGGUUUGUUUGUUUAUUGAAAUUGGAGAAGCAGCAGCCUGACAGAGGGGAUCUGGCUUGAGGCAAAGAGAACAAGUCAGGUUUAGGGAAAGAGGC
Long non-coding RNA from Melospiza georgiana, 2346 nucleotides. RefSeq lists it as uncharacterized. NCBI's taxonomy places the organism in Eukaryota, Metazoa, Chordata, Aves, Passeriformes, Passerellidae. The record is from RefSeq and is a predicted model, not a curated record. The transcript is spliced from 4 exons.